AUUGAACGCUGGCGGCAGGCCUAACACAUGCAAGUCGAGCGAGAGGCGGACGGGUGAGUAAUGUAUGGGGACUGCCCGAUAGAGGGGGAUAACCACUGGAAACGGUGGCUAAUACCGCAUACUGGCGGAUAAUCGAUAUGGGAUUAGCGAGUAGGUAAGGUAAUGGCUUACCUAGGCGACGAUCCCUAGCUGGUUUGAGAGGAUGAUCAGCCACACUGGGAGUGAUACACGGCCCAGACUCCUAGGGGGGCAGCAGUGGGGAAUAUUGCACAAUGGGCGAAAGCCUGAUGCAGCCAUGCCGCGUGGAUGAAGAAGGCCCUAGGGUUGUAAAGUACUUUCAGUCGGGAGGCGUUACCGACAGAAGAAGCACCGGCUAACUCCGUGCCAGCAGCCGCGGUAAUAC
RNAcentral lists this ribosomal RNA (403 nucleotides) under uncultured bacterium. RNAcentral's name for it is "partial 16S ribosomal RNA". It matches the Rfam family "Bacterial small subunit ribosomal RNA", at positions 30 to 526 of the family's 1533-position model. The record is from RNAcentral.